UCCGGGAGGCAUUCCUAGCCUGGGAAAAAAAAAGCGGGGCUGGGAGCUCUCUGUACAAACAACACGCCGGAGAGUGAUCAGCCAUGUCAUAAGACAACACUGAAAUCAGACUGAAUCUGUCAUCGGUUCAUAAAUUCAAUCUUUGUCAUUUUUUUCCCCCAGGACUGACCGACACGUAUAUCCACGAAGCCGUGCAUGAACUGGAAAACACUGACGUUUAGCCGAAUAGCUCAUUCAAGACAAAAGCUCCAGCAGGACAGAUAGUAUGCUGAGUAAAGCGGCCACUAUGGAGAUCCCUAUCAACCGUAACGGAGACACGAGGACGCUGGCGGAGGAUGACAGCCUUGAACAAGUUGCUAAGCUACAGUGGAGCUUAGAUGAGAAGUUUUCAUUGUGCCCCUACAUUUCUUUGUGUGCCCCUACAUUUCUUUGUGUGCUCCUACAUUUCUUUGUGUGCUCCUACAU
Oncorhynchus tshawytscha (Chinook salmon) is the source of this 465-nucleotide long non-coding RNA. Lineage: Eukaryota; Metazoa; Chordata; Actinopteri; Salmoniformes; Salmonidae. The record is from Ensembl.